GAGAAACGGCUACCACAUCUAAGGAAGGCAGCAGGCGCGCAAAUUACCCAAUUCUAACAGCAUAAGAGAGGUAGUGACAAGAAAUAACAGUACAAGGCAGUUAAAAUGCUUUGUAAUUGGAAUGAUAGAAAUUUAAAUACUUUUUAAAGUAUCAAUUGGAGGGCAAGUCUGGUGCCAGCAGCCGCGGUAAUUCCAGCUCCAAUAGCGUAUAUUAAAAUUGUUGCAGUUAAAAAGCUCGUAGUUGAAUUUUUGCUAAAAAUAACCGGUCUGCUUUUAUUAAUAAAAGUGGUAUCUUGGUGUGUUUUUAGCAAUAAUGUCCUUUGAAAUGUUUUUUACUUUAUUGUAAAAAGCAAUUUUCAGGAUUUUUACUUUGAGAAAAUUAGAGUGUUUCAAGCAGGCUAACGUUUUGAAUACUGCAGCAUGGAAUAAUAAAAUAGGAUUUUAGUUCUACGUUAUUGGUUUUAAGAACUAAAUUAAUGAUUGAUAGGAGCAGUUGGGGGCAUUUGUAUUUAACUGUCAGA
Molecule: ribosomal RNA, 521 nt
Filed under: Hepatozoon sp.
Lineage: Eukaryota; Apicomplexa; Hepatozoidae
Description: bacterial SSU rRNA
Rfam family: Eukaryotic small subunit ribosomal RNA
Source: RNAcentral